Molecule: small nucleolar RNA, 192 nt
Filed under: Perkinsus marinus ATCC 50983
Lineage: Eukaryota; Perkinsozoa; Perkinsida; Perkinsidae
Description: ACEA small nucleolar RNA U3
Rfam family: ACEA small nucleolar RNA U3
About the family: Small nucleolar RNAs (snoRNAs) are involved in the processing and modification of rRNA in the nucleolus. There are two main classes of snoRNAs: the box C/D class, and the box H/ACA class. U3 snoRNA is a member of the box C/D class.
Source: Rfam by way of RNAcentral
UCGACUGUACUCGAACAGGAUCACUUAUGUAGUGAUUUCCUUCCGUUCACAAAAGUACUCUUGACAAAACCCUAAACCGUGAUGAGGAGAUGUAUACCCCACCCUAAUGGAGGUGUAGUCAGUACAGUCAUGUACUCGACUUCGAUGAUCCAUCCCAUAUGGGUUUUGGGGUGUGGGUAUUGCUGAACGGUU